CCCAGACUCCUACGGGAGGCAGCAGUGGGGAAUAUUGCACAAUGGGGGAAACCCUGAUGCAGCGACGCCGCGUGGGUGAAGGAGUGCUUCGGCAUGUAAAGCCCUAUCGGCAGGGAAGAAGCAAGACGGUACCUGACUAAGAAGCCCCGGCUAACUACGUGCCAGCAGCCGCGGUAAUACGUAGGGGGCAAGCGUUAUCCGGAUUUACUGGGUGUAAAGGGGGCGCAGACGGCGAUGCAAGCCAGGAGUGAAAGCCCGGGGCCCAACCCCGGGACUGCUCUUGGAACUGCGUGGCUGGAGUGCAGGAGGGGCAGGCGGAAUUCCUGGUGUAGCGGUGAAAUGCGUAGAUAUCAGGAGGAACACCGGUGGCGAAGGCGGCCCGCUGGACUGCAACUGACGUUGAGGCCCGAAAGCGUGGGGAGCAAACAGGAUUAGAUACCCGAGUA
This 446-nucleotide ribosomal RNA is filed under the name uncultured bacterium. RNAcentral's name for it is "bacterial SSU rRNA". It matches the Rfam family "Bacterial small subunit ribosomal RNA", at positions 330 to 792 of the family's 1533-position model. The record is from RNAcentral.